GGCGACGUAGCCAAGUGGCCUAAGGCAGCGGUCUGCAAAACCGCCAUCACGGGUUCAAAUCCCGUCGUCGCCUCCA
RNAcentral lists this transfer RNA (76 nucleotides) under Chloroflexota bacterium. Its description in RNAcentral is "tRNA-Cys". It matches the Rfam family "tRNA". Rfam says of the family: Transfer RNA (tRNA) molecules are approximately 80 nucleotides in length. Their secondary structure includes four short double-helical elements and three loops (D, anti-codon, and T loops). Lineage: Bacteria; Bacillati; Chloroflexota. RNAcentral also lists the same sequence under 3 other names. The record is from RNAcentral.